Molecule: ribosomal RNA, 301 nt
Filed under: uncultured bacterium
Lineage: Bacteria
Description: partial 16S ribosomal RNA
Rfam family: Bacterial small subunit ribosomal RNA
Source: RNAcentral
CAGUAGCCGCGGUAAUACGUAGGGUGCAAGCGUUAAUCGGAAUUACUGGGCGUAAAGCGUGCGCAGGCGGUUAUAUAAGACAGAUGUGAAAUCCCCGGGCUCAACCUGGGAACUGCAUUUGUGACUGUAUAGCUAGAGUACGGCAGAGGGGGAUGGAAUUCCGCGUGUAGCAGUGAAAUGCGUAGAUAUGCGGAGGAACACCGAUGGCGAAGGCAAUCCCCUGGGCCUGUACUGACGCUUAUGCACGAAAGCGUGGGGAGCAAACAGGAUUAGAUACCCCCGUAGUCCCUGUCUCUUAUAC